RNAcentral lists this transfer RNA (73 nucleotides) under Sphaerobolus stellatus SS14. Its description in RNAcentral is "tRNA-Lys (CTT) (tRNA-Lys-CTT-7-1)". It matches the Rfam family "tRNA". From Rfam's summary of the family: Transfer RNA (tRNA) molecules are approximately 80 nucleotides in length. The record is from Rfam by way of RNAcentral. Lineage: Eukaryota; Fungi; Basidiomycota; Agaricomycetes; Geastrales; Sphaerobolaceae.
GCCUUGCUAGCUCAAUCGGUAGAGCGUGAGACUCUUAAUCUCAAGGUUGUGGGUUCGACCCCCGCGUGGGGCU